AAGUCGUAACAAGGUCUCCGUAGGUGAACCUGCGGAGGGAUCAUUACCGAGUUCAUGCCCUUACGGGUAGAUCUCCCACCCUAUGUUAUAUUCCCUUUGUUGCUUUGGCAGGCCGUCAGGCUUCGGUCAGGCUACCGGCUCCGGCUGGUAAGCGCCCGCCAGAGGACCCCAAACUCUGAAUAUUAGUGUCGUCUGAGUACCAUAAAAUAGUUAAAACUUUCAACAACGGAUCUCUUGGUUCUGGCAUCGAUGAAGAACGCAGCGAAAUGCGAUAAGUAAUGUGAAUUGCAGAAUCCGUGAGUCAUCGAAUCUUUGAACGCAUAUUGCGCCCUUUGGCAUUCCGAAGGGCAUGUCUGUUCGAGCGUCAUUAUCACCUCUCAAGCCCGGCUUGCUGUUGAAUCUCGAUUAUAUUAUCGGUGUAAUCGAUUCUAAAGAUAACGACGGUGUCUAUGAAGACCCCUAGUACACUGAGCCCUUUUAUGGCACGUAUUUGGCGGGAGUCUCGACCCGGUCUUACCCACAUUUAAAUCAAGGUUGACCUCGAAUCAGAUAGGAAUACCCGCUGAACUUAAGCAUAUCAAUAAGCGGAGGAAAAGAAACCAACAGGGAUUGCCUCAGUAACGGCGAGUGAAGCGGCAACAGCUCAAAUUUGAAAUCUGGCCUUUUAGGUCCGAGUUGUAAUUUGUAGAGGAUGUUUUGGGUACCGCAGCUAUUUAAAUUUCUUGGAACAGAAUGUCAGAGAGGGUGAGAGUCCCGUCUGGAAUGGCAGUAGGGCCUGUGUAAAACUCCUUCGACGAGUCGAGUUGUUUGGGAAUGCAGCUCAAAAUGGGUGGUAAAUUUCGUCUAAAGCUAAAUAUUGGCCAGAGACCGAUAGCGCACAAGUAGAGUGAUCGAAAGAUGAAAAGCACUUUGAAAAGAGAGUUAAACAGUAUGUGAAAUUGUUGAAAGGGAAGCGCUUGCAACCAGACUUGAGUGUAAUGGUUCCCCCUUGCUUUUGCUUGGGCUACUCCAUUACGUCCAGGCCAACAUCGGUUUUAAGGGUUGGUUAAAGGCCUUCAGGAAUGUAUCUUCCCUCGGGAAGACUUAUAGCCUAGGGUGUCAUGCAGCCUCCUAAGACCGAGGAAUGCGCUUCGGCGAGGAUGUUGGCGUAAUGGUUGUAAGCGACC
RNAcentral lists this ribosomal RNA (1166 nucleotides) under uncultured fungus. RNAcentral describes it as "eukaryotic LSU rRNA". The stretch from base 536 to 1166 matches the Rfam family "Eukaryotic large subunit ribosomal RNA", at positions 1 to 649 of the family's 3401-position model. Lineage: Eukaryota; Fungi. The record is from RNAcentral.